Molecule: small nuclear RNA, 107 nt
Filed under: Spermophilus dauricus (Daurian ground squirrel)
Lineage: Eukaryota; Metazoa; Chordata; Mammalia; Rodentia; Sciuridae
Source: RNAcentral
GUGCUCGCUUUGGCAGCACAUUUACUAAAAUUGAAAUGAUACAGAGUAGAUUAGCAUGGCCCCCGUGCAAGGAUGACACCCCAAUUCAUGAAGCGUUCCAUAUUUAG